This 947-nucleotide ribosomal RNA is filed under the name uncultured eubacterium WCHA1-69. RNAcentral describes it as "bacterial SSU rRNA". It matches the Rfam family "Bacterial small subunit ribosomal RNA", at positions 524 to 1482 of the family's 1533-position model. Lineage: Bacteria; Bacillati; Chloroflexota. The record is from RNAcentral.
AACGUAGGAGGCAAGCGUUAUCCGGAUUUAUUGGGCGUAAAGCGCGUGCAGGCUGCUUGGAAAGUUGGAUGUGAAAGCUCCUGGCUUAACUGGGAGAGGUCGUUCAAAACUACCAAGCUAGAGAAUGGGAGAGGGAAAUGGAAUUCCGGGUGUAGUGGUGAAAUGCGUAUAUAUCCGGAGGAACACCAGUGGCGAAAGCGGCUUCCUAGACCAUUUCUGACGCUUAGACGCGAAAGCUAGGGGAGCGAACGGGAUUAGAGACCCCGGUAGUCCUAGCUGUAAACGAUGUAUACUUGGCGUUGGCGGAGUUAAAUCUGCCAGUGCCGGAGCUAACGCGUUAAGUCUACCGCCUGGGGACUACGACCGCAAGGUUAAAACUCAAAGGAAUUGACGGGGACCCGCACAAGCAGCGGAGCGUGUGGUUUAAUUCGAUGCUACACGAAGAACCUUACCAGGGUUUGACAUGCAAGUGGUAGGAAACUGAAAAGGGACCGACCCUUCGGGGAGCUUGCACAGGUGCUGCAUGGCUGUCGUCAGCUCGUGUCGUGAGAUGUUCGGUUAAGUCCGCUAACGAGCGCAACCCUCACUGUGUGUUAUAUGUGUCACACGGGACUGCCGGUUUUAAGCCGGAGGAAGGUGGGGAUGACGUCAAGUCAGCAUGGCCUUUAUAUCCUGGGCUACACACACGCUACAAUGGUCGGUACAAUAGGUUGCCAAGCCGCGAGGCGGAGCCAAUCCAAAAAAGCCGGCCUCAGUUCAGAUUGUAGGCUGCAACUCGCCUGCAUGAAGAUGGAGUUGCUAGUAACCGCAGGUCAGCAAUACUGCGGUGAAUACGUUCCCGGGUCUUGUACACACCGCCCGUCACGUCAUGGAAGCUGGCAACACCUGAAGCCGGUAUCCUAACCGCAAGGAAGGAGCCGUCGAAGGUGGGGUCGGUGACUGGGACG